AGUAACACGUGGAUAACCUACCUAUAAGACUGGGAUAACUUCUGGAAACCGGAGCUAAUACCGGAUAAUAUUUUGAACCGCAUGGUUCAAAAGUGAAAGACGGUCUUGCUGUCACUUAUAGAUGGAUCCGCGCUGCAUUAGCUAGUUGGUAAGGUAACGGCUUACCAAGGCAACGAUGCAUAGCCGACCUGAGAGGGUGAUCGGCCACACUGGAACUGAGACACGGUCCAG
This 231-nucleotide ribosomal RNA is filed under the name uncultured Staphylococcus sp. RNAcentral's name for it is "partial 16S ribosomal RNA". It matches the Rfam family "Bacterial small subunit ribosomal RNA", at positions 109 to 334 of the family's 1533-position model. Lineage: Bacteria; Bacillati; Bacillota; Bacilli; Caryophanales; Staphylococcaceae. The record is from RNAcentral.